AUUGAACGCUGGCGGCAUGCCUUACACAUGCAAGUCGAACGGCAGCACGGGAGCAAUCCUGGUGGCGAGUGGCGAACGGGUGAGUAAUAUAUCGGAACGUGCCCGGUCGUGGGGAUAACGUAGCGAAAGCUACGCUAAUACCGCAUACGAUCUACGGAUGAAAGCGGGGGAUCGCAAGACCUCGCGCGAUUGGAGCGGCCGAUAUCAGAUUAGGUAGUUGGUGAGGUAAAGGCUCACCAAGCCGACGAUCUGUAGCUGGUCUGAGAGGACGACCAGCCACACUGGGACUGAGACACGGCCCAGACUCCUACGGGAGGCAGCAGUGGGGAAUUUUGGACAAUGGGCGGCAAGGUCUGAUCCAGCCAUUCCGCGUGCAGGAUGAA
This 383-nucleotide ribosomal RNA is filed under the name uncultured bacterium. RNAcentral's name for it is "bacterial SSU rRNA". It matches the Rfam family "Bacterial small subunit ribosomal RNA", at positions 30 to 412 of the family's 1533-position model. The record is from RNAcentral.